UAAACUUCUCGGCCUUUUGGCUAAGAUCAGAGUCAUAGUAUCUGUUCUUAUCAGUUUAAUAUCUGAUAAAGUCCCCUAUCCUGGCAUAUAUUAAGUGAUUUUGGAACAGGGAGAUGGAAUAGGGGCUUGCUCCGUCCACUCCCGCAUGCGACCUGGUAUUUACGAGGUACUUCCAGGAGCGGUGCACUUUUC
Small nuclear RNA from Polypterus senegalus (gray bichir), 192 nucleotides. RefSeq annotates it as U2 spliceosomal RNA. The transcript has a single exon. NCBI's taxonomy places the organism in Eukaryota, Metazoa, Chordata, Cladistia, Polypteriformes, Polypteridae. The record is from RefSeq and is a predicted model, not a curated record.